GACGAACCCUUGCGGCGUGCUUAACACAUGCAAGUCGAACGGAAAGGCCCUGCUUUUGUGGGGUGCUCGAGUGGCGAACGGGUGAGUAACACGUGAGUAACCUGCCCUUGACUUUGGGAUAACUUCAGGAAACUGGGGCUAAUACCGGAUAGGAGCUCCUGCUGCAUGGUGGGGGUUGGAAAGUUUCGGCGGUUGGGGAUGGACUCGCGGCUUAUCAGCUUGUUGGUGGGGUAGUGGCUUACCAAGGCUUUGACGGGUAGCCGGCCUGAGAGGGUGACCGGCCACAUUGGGACUGAGAUACGGCCCAGACUCCUACGGGAGGCAGCAGUGGGGAAUAUUGCACAAUGGGCGGAAGCCUGAUGCAGCAACGCCGCGUGCGGGAUGACGGCCUUCGGGCUGUAAACCGCUUUCGCCUGUGACGAAGCGUGAGUGACGGUAAUGGGUAAAGAAGCACCGGCUAACUACGUGCCAGCAGCCGCGGUGAUACGUAGGGUGCGAGCGUUGUCCGGAUUUAUUGGGCGUAAAGGGCUCGUAGGUGGUUGAUCGCGUCGGAAGUGUAAUCUUGGGGCUUAACCCUGAGCGUGCUUUCGAUACGGGUUGACUUGAGGAAGGUAGGGGAGAAUGGAAUUCCUGGUGGAGCGGUGGAAUGCGCAGAUAUCAGGAGGAACACCAGUGGCGAAGGCGGUUCUCUGGGCCUUUCCUGACGCUGAGGAGCGAAAGCGUGGGGAGCGAACAGGCUUAGAUACCCUGGUAGUCCACGCUGUAAACGGUGGGUACUAGGUGUGGGGUCCAUUCCACGGGUUCCGUGCCGUAGCUAACGCUUUAAGUACCCCGCCUGGGGAGUACGGCCGCAAGGCUAAAACUCAAAGGAACUGACGGGGCCCCGCACAAGCGGCGGAGCAUGCGGAUUAAUUCGAUGCAACGCGUAGAACCUUACCUGGGUUUGACAUGGAUCGGGAGUGCUCAGAGAUGGGUGUGCCUCUUUUGGGGUCGGUUCACAGGUGGUGCAUGGCUGUCGUCAGCUCGUGUCGUGAGAUGUUGGGUUAAGUCCCGCAACGAGCGCAACCCUUGUUCACUGUUGCCAGCACGUUAUGGUGGGGACUCAGUGGAGACCGCCGGGGUCAACUCGGAGGAAGGUGGGGAUGACGUCAAGUCAUCAUGCCCCUUAUGUCCAGGGCUUCACGCAUGCUACAAUGGCUGGUACAGAGAGUGGCGAGCCUGUGAGGGUGAGCGAAUCUCGGAAAGCCGGUCUCAGUUCGGAUUGGGGUCUGCAACUCGACCUCAUGAAGUCGGAGUCGCUAGUAAUCGCAGAUCAGCAACGCUGCGGUGAAUACGUUCCCGGG
This 1343-nucleotide ribosomal RNA is filed under the name uncultured bacterium. RNAcentral describes it as "16S ribosomal RNA". It matches the Rfam family "Bacterial small subunit ribosomal RNA", at positions 28 to 1378 of the family's 1533-position model. The record is from RNAcentral.